UACGAACCGUCCAAACGUUAUUCGGAAUCACUGGGCUUAAAGAGUUUGUAGGCGGCUCAGUAAGUAGGGUGUGAAAUCCCACGGCUCAACCGUGGAACUGCGCCCUAAACUACUGAGCUUGAGGGAGCUAGAGGUAAGCGGAACAGAUGGUGGAGCGGUGAAAUGCGUUGAUAUUAUCUGGAACACCGGAGGCGAAGGCGGCUUACUGGGGCUUUUCUGACGCUGAGAAACGAAAGCUAGGGUAGCGAACGGG
This 253-nucleotide ribosomal RNA is filed under the name uncultured bacterium. RNAcentral describes it as "partial 16S ribosomal RNA". It matches the Rfam family "Bacterial small subunit ribosomal RNA", at positions 524 to 776 of the family's 1533-position model. The record is from RNAcentral.